RNAcentral lists this ribosomal RNA (423 nucleotides) under uncultured bacterium. RNAcentral's name for it is "partial 16S ribosomal RNA". It matches the Rfam family "Bacterial small subunit ribosomal RNA", at positions 360 to 775 of the family's 1533-position model. The record is from RNAcentral.
AAUCUUCCGCAAUGGACGAAAGUCUGACGGAGCAACGCCGCGUGAGUGAAGAAGGUUUGCGGAGCGUAAAACUCUGUUGUCGGAGAAGAACAAGCAGGAAAGGAACUGUUCCUGCCUUGACGGUACCCGACCAGAAAGCUACGGCUCACUACGUGCCAGCAUCCGCGGUAAUACGUAGGUGGCAAGCGUUGUCCGGAUUUAUUGGGCGUAAAGCGAGCGCAGGCGGUUCCUUAAGUCUGAUGUGAAAGCCCACGGCUCAACCGUGGAAGGUCAUUGGAAACUGGGGAACUUGAAUGCAGAAGAGGAGAGUGGAAUUCCAUGUGUAGCGGUGAAAUGCGUAGAUAUAUGGAGGAACACCAGUGGCGAAGGCGACUCUCUGGUCUGUAAUUGACGCUGAGGCUCGAAAGCGUGGGGAGCAAACAG